Molecule: long non-coding RNA, 998 nt
Organism: Lathyrus oleraceus (garden pea)
Lineage: Eukaryota; Viridiplantae; Streptophyta; Magnoliopsida; Fabales; Fabaceae
Exons: 2
Source: RefSeq, a predicted model, not a curated record
GACCCCAAAAAACUACUUAACUUUUGUAAUUUUAAAUAUCAAAAUAUUGAUCUAUCUACUCUCAAGAACUGAAAGUUCAUUGGAGUGGUCCAAUCUUUAACAGAAAAUUAGUGUCAGCAUCUGAUCUCUUCCAGUCCGAAGUGCUCAGUGAUUCAAAAAAGCGAAGAGGCAUUUUCAAUAAGUGUUGGUUUGAGCAAAAAAGAUGCUUUAUUUGAUACUAUCAUUAUCAAGUGAGUACGAUGCUUGCUUCUGUGGCCUAUUGACACAAAAGUAGCACUGUAUCAAAUUCCUCGACUAUGGAAAAGGAAGUUGCUGAAGAGGAAAUCAUUUAACAUGAGACAAAGGAAAGCACAAAAUUGUUUAUUUACAGAAUACAUAUUUCUGGGUUGCUUUAAUACUGGCGAGGAGACACACUUAAAAGUCCAUUCCUCGAUAUCAAGCGUUAUAUAGAUAGAUAUAUCUGUGAUUUUCACUUUAUGUAUGAUAGUAUAAAUAUGAAAAUUUAAUAAAUUUAUAUCAGAUCCUUGAGUCAACCCAAAAAACAGCAGAACCCAGAAGGAGACACAGUAAAGACCGCUACUUUAGCACCAUUGUCUAGCACUUCUGAAAAGAAGUAAUAUGUGUGCAAUCAGGAUGAUUCUCACUGCUAUUUUUGAUUGACUGGCCUUCAACUUUGGGAAGACAAUAACAAUAAAAGUACUCCAUAAGAAUGCUUAUUUUCCUGUUUGUCGCGCACUGUCAGUUAGUUCAGUUAGAAUCCACUACAUACUAGAGUCCAUAUGUUGGAUUGAAAAAGCUCCUCUAAAGUAAGCUUCUUUGUAAAAUCAGCAGGCAGCAACAAAUUUCCCUUUAGAUUUUUUGUGAAAUAAAGUUUCAAUUCACAUAAACUUCAGGAUAUAAUGUGGAAUUAUUGAUCUCACUUUCACAUAUAUACGUGUUUAUCACAUCAUUUUUUAUGCACGGACUAUUUUUAUAUAAAAAGAUAAAAUAAAGUCAAA